RNAcentral lists this ribosomal RNA (230 nucleotides) under uncultured bacterium. RNAcentral's name for it is "partial 16S ribosomal RNA". It matches the Rfam family "Bacterial small subunit ribosomal RNA", at positions 524 to 753 of the family's 1533-position model. The record is from RNAcentral.
AACGUAGGAGACAAACGUUAUCCGGAGUUACUGGGCGUAAAGGGCGUGUAGGUGGUUUCGUAAGUCUGGCGUGAAAUUUUUCGGCUUAACCGGGAAAGGUCGUCGGAUACUGCGGGACUGGAGGACGGUAGAGGCGUGUGGAAUUCCGGGUGUAGUGGUGAAAUGCGUAGAGAUCCGGAGGAACACCAGUGGCGAAGGCGACACGCUGGGCCGUACCUGACACUGAUGCG